CUAAGAUAAAAGUUCAUUAAGGCCUUUUUAAAGGCAGAACUGAGUACAAGGGUUCAAGGUCCAUGAAGAUACAAAAGAAAUCCCCAGCAAACCAACUCAUAUCCAAAGCCCAAGGUUACAGCCCAAAGCCGAAAACACCCAAACCCCAAAAAACCGAGCCUUAACUCAAAAGAGCAUUGCCAGCCUCUACUCGGCUUAACAAAGUAACAACAAACAGUAGAACCUUCAAGCCGCGGGCGGCUCGGCAGUUUAGGGGAAGACAAAAUUGAAAAGCCUACAACAGAUGAACCAGCAGGACAACCGAUGCCACUACAGUUCAUAAAGAGGUUAAGUGAAGGCGCUCCUUGGCCUCCCAAUCAUGCCUUCCGGGCUGGCAUGCUGUCGGCGUCGACCCCGCGAGAAGCCACCCAAAUCUACUCCCUCAUGCCUAUUCAAUAGAGGAAUCCACCAGAACUUAGUCAUUGCCCAAAGCCAUGGCUGAAGAGGUGCAGAAGCACAAACCCAAACUAGAUCUGGAGAAGAACACAACUAUGAAAGUUAACCUGCAAUAACAUCACACAACCACAAGAAACAAGAACACAGAGCAUAAUUAGAGCUCAACAAAACAAUCAUACAAAAUUCCCUCAACGUUUAGAUCUCGGCUGUCCACAAAACCAAACCAAAAUUAUCUACAACCCACCCAGGUGGGAGGAGGAAAUCCACACCAUGAGUAAAGAGAGGUUUGCCCUAAGGGGCAGAGGAAAGCUGCUGGAGGUGCAGCUAAAAACUGGGUCUAAAACCUGGAUGUAAAAACGAGAGAAGUUUUUGUAAUUGUAAAGUUUUUUUCCUUGAUGAUGUGUUAUUCUGCAAAUUAUAAUUAAAACAAUUAUUUUUGCACUUGAUAAUUAAAUUCAGCAAUCUAGCUACCAUUUUCACCAAAAGUAACAAGUAGUUGAUCAAAAUAAUAUCGAAAUUUAGACACCGCAAG
This 967-nucleotide unclassified non-coding RNA is filed under the name Hevea brasiliensis (rubber tree). Lineage: Eukaryota; Viridiplantae; Streptophyta; Magnoliopsida; Malpighiales; Euphorbiaceae. The record is from RNAcentral.